RNAcentral lists this unclassified non-coding RNA (336 nucleotides) under soil metagenome. RNAcentral describes it as "partial contains 5.8S ribosomal RNA, internal transcribed spacer 2, and large subunit ribosomal RNA". The stretch from base 1 to 120 matches the Rfam family "5.8S ribosomal RNA", at positions 35 to 154 of the family's 154-position model. The record is from RNAcentral.
GAUGAAGAACGCAGCGAAAUGCGAUAAGUAGUGUGAAUUGCAGAAUUCAGUGAAUCAUCGAAUCUUUGAACGCCCAUUGCGCCCCUUGGUAUUCCAUGGGGCAUGCCUGUUCGAGCGUCAUUUGUACCUUCAAGCUUUGCUUGGUGUUGGGUGUUUGUCUCGCCUUUGCGUGUAGACUCGCCUUAAAAUAAUUGGCAGCCGGCGUAUUGAUUUCGGAGCGCAGUACAUCUCGCGCUUUGCACUCAUAACGACAGCGUCCAAAAGUACAUUUUACACUCUUGACCUCGGAUCAGGUAGGGAUACCCGCUGAACUUAAGCAUAUCAAUAAGCGGAGGA